Non-coding RNA from Paramuricea clavata, 264 nucleotides. The record is from the annotation of a GenBank genome assembly. Lineage: Eukaryota; Metazoa; Cnidaria; Anthozoa; Malacalcyonacea; Plexauridae.
UUCGCAAGUUGUCGACGUGCUCGUUUCUAGCUGUUAACAACUUGUAACAAGGUUGAUGGCAUUAUCAGAUUUGUUGCAAGGUUCUAACAAGUCUGAUACAGUCGUGAUAUAACGAGAAUCUUACAAGGUUGUAACAAUAUUGUUAUAUCAUGACUGUAUCGGACUUGUUGGAGCAACCUUGCAACAAGUCUGAUAAUAUCAACAAGGUUGUUGCAAGUUGUUAAGUGUUAACAGCUUGUUCCAAACUUGUUGACAACUUGGGAC